ACGAACUCACCUAGGCGGUCAGACCCCGGGCGCGGGGACCCGAGCGCGCGAAGCGACCUGUCGCGCCCCCUCCUCCCUGGCUGCUGGGGGAGGGCGGGCGCAGGGCCGGCGAAACUAGGGUGGGAAUGAGGCUCGCCGCCGCUCCCUUCUGCAGACCAUUGUCAGCACCACGGUCGCCGGGGCUGUCUGCACGGUAUGGGGGCGGGAGACUCUACGGAACCGAAUAGUUGCCAACGCUCUCCCGGAGCCCGGGAGGGAGAGCUGCUUUUGCAUCAGAGCCGGGGGCCGUACCAGGCUCUUCUCUGUCUUUCCCGGCGUGGCCCGUCCUGUGUGGCAGAGGACGCCGCCGAGGCGAGUGCACCUGGCCGGCCCGGAGCACAGCAACGCAGGACCUGGGCUGACAACAACGUGACGCUUGAGCGCGUCUUUUCUGCUUUGAUUCUUGCAAACACCUACUUCCACGGAGAUGAGCCCAUUGGGUUUAUGGGAUAAUCGAAAAUCAGACGGAUUAAGUCCAAGGUGCCAAUGCUAGAGUCUCCAGAUCUUUUCACCGAAACAGGGUGCUGCUUAACUGUUAAAAGAGUUUUGCAAAACCAGCCCCCAUCAAAAUAGCAUGUAUCAGAAAGAGGGAUGGAAUUUAGCUUAGAAGUUUGUGCUAAAAUGGGGACACAUCGCCCCCCAGGCCCCAUGCACACCCUCUUGCUUCUGUAACAAUAGGGUUUAACUACGUUCUGCCAGGUCCUUAGCGUGAUAAUCGUCAACCCCUAUUGUAAACAACUCACUAAUCAUCAGAGCCCUGUGUACUUAAAAAAAAAAAUGCAGGUGUCCAAUACUGAAAAAUUAAUAUAUUUAGUAAUUGCUCUUUUGCCCUUUUGUGUAUGAAGCUGAUGCUCCCGAUUCCAAGUAGGAGGGAGAGAACUUCAUGUUGAGCUGUUUUCCAGGCGUGGCUUUUUGUGGGAACCCUACUAUAGGGCUCGCAUAGACACUGGUGUAUUUAAGAUGCUACUAAAAGGGUGGGUGGAGAUCAACAUACAUAGUGUGUGUUUCUGAAAUAAUUUGCCAGUGCAACAGUGUAUUGGGGUAGGGAGGGGAACCUUUGCUUGGACAUCUUCUUCACCACGCCCAGGAUAAUCAAUCAAAUCGACAUUUCCUUUUUCUGUGGAACUCUGCCUUUUGCAUUUAAAAGGGUAAACAAACAAAAAAUCAUGAGCCUGAUUUUACAUGUUCUUCUUGAGCUGGAUGCCAGCCCGCUAAUGUGUCACUGCUCAUUUUUAUUUCUAUUCAACGGGGCUACAAAUGCAAUAUGUCCUUGGGUGCAAGAUAUACACUGGAUACUGUGAUGUCCCUUGCCAUCUUCUAACAGUGCGGCAGGGAACAAGGCACACCUCAAUUAGUAUAGUGACUUGCACAUAGUAGAUGCCUAAUAAGUAUUUGUCAGGUGAAUGGGGUCUCAACAGAAUGUAAUGAAUACAAAAGUGGCCUGUUUUCAGUUCUGCGGGAAAGCAUGAGGGAAAUCAGUUAUAGGUGACAUGGUCAGGGAAGGCAUCCUGGAGGUGGUGACGGGUGCAGGAUUUUGAUAUGAAGAAUCGGCUAAGGAAUGGAAGUAAGAAAGUCUGCUAUGUUUUUGAGAUAUGGCAGAGGUAAAAGUUCUUAACAUUUUCUAAGUAAUAGGCUCAUAUUAAAAUCUGAGAGAAGCUUCGGAACGUUCCUAUAUAAAAAAAAAAUGUAAAAAGAUUUGCAUACAUUUUCUGGGAUUUCACAAACUGGCCAAAGCAGAUCUGUGGAAUCCCUAGAGGUCUGUGGACUUGAGUUGCAAUUUUCUUGUUGGGAGGCAGAGAGAAAAAUAAAGAAAUUAUUCUAUUUGAGGCCAUCAUAAGAGACAUUUCCAUGGCCACCAACAGAAUUUGGGUAAUAACUGAGGGAAUAGAAAGAAAAGUGUGCUAUAAAGGAAAUUUGUACAAUAGAGAAGUAUGGCACUCCCUCUCUUGAAGCUAGGACAUAGCAUUUGUAUUCUUUUUGUACCUGAGAAUUUCACUUUCAUCUCUCAACAAAAAGAUAAACGAAAAUAUGACUGUUAAACACCGGCCAUUGCCAAUGCUGGGUGGGUACAUGGGGGGGGGGAUGGGCUAGUAGUGUAUUACCUCCUUAUUUGUGAUGUUGGAC
Long non-coding RNA from Ailuropoda melanoleuca (giant panda), 2163 nucleotides. The record is from Ensembl. Lineage: Eukaryota; Metazoa; Chordata; Mammalia; Carnivora; Ursidae.